GAGACAGCAGUAGCCGCGGUAAUACGGAGGGUGCAAGCGUUAAUCGGAAUUACUGGGCGUAAAGCGCACGCAGGCGGUCUGACAAGUCAGAUGUGAAAUCCCCGGGCUUAACCUGGGAACUGCAUUUGAAACUGUCAGGCUGGAGUCUUGUAGAGGGGGGUGGAAUUCCAGGUGUAGCGGUGAAAUGCGUAGAGAUCUGGAGGAAUACCGGUGGCGAAGGCGGCCCCCUGGACAAAGACUGACGCUCAGGUGCGAAAGCGUGGGGAGCAAACAGGAUUAGAUACCCCGGUAGUCCCUGUCUCUUAUAC
Molecule: ribosomal RNA, 308 nt
Filed under: uncultured bacterium
Lineage: Bacteria
Description: partial 16S ribosomal RNA
Rfam family: Bacterial small subunit ribosomal RNA
Source: RNAcentral